AGGUGAGUCACGGUGCCGGGGCAUUUUACUUGAUAUUAGAACGAGAAGGAGAGAUGCAGAGUGCACGCACAAUGAAACAAAUGAUGGGAGGAGGGAUGGAAGGAGAAAGAGUAUAUGUAUUUGCAGCGCAGAAUGAAACAUGAGCGAUCAUACCAGCACUAAUGCAACGGAUUUUAUCAGAACUCCGCAAGUUAAGGGUGCUUGGGUGAGAGUAGUACUAGGAUGGGUGACCUCUUGUGAAGUCAUUAUAUAUCACCCAUUUUCAUGGGAAGUCCUCGUAUUGCACCCAUUUAUUUGCAGAUGAUUCUUUCCAAGUUACGCGCGACUUGAAUUAUGGUCCGUAGGUUUAUUUGCAAAUGUGAGUCACGGCGCCGUGCCAUUUUACUGGAUAUUUGAACAAGAACAGGAGGUGCAGUGCGCACGCACAAGGAAACAAAUGACGGGAGGGGGAAGAAAGGAGGAGUGUAUGUAUUUGUGGCACAAAAUUAAACAGGUGCGAUCAUACCAGCACAAUUGCACUGGAUCCCAUCAGAACUCCGCAGUCAAGUGUGCUUGGGCGAGAGUAGUACUCGGAUGGGUGUCCUCCUGGGAAUUCCUCGUGUUGCACCCAUUUUUUUUCGGAUGGGUCGCUCGACGUUACGCGCGAAUGGAAUUAUGAACCGCUGGUUCAUUCGCAAAGGUGAGUGACAGUGCCGGGGCAUUUUACUUGAUAUUAGAACGAGAAGGAGAGAUGUAGAGUGCACGUACAAGGAAACAAAUGACGGGUGGGGGAUGGAAGGAGAAAGAGUGUAUGUAUUUGCAGCGCAGAANNNNNNNNNNNNNNNNNNNNNNNNNNNNNNNNNNNNNNNNNNNNNNNNNNNNNNNNNNNNNNNNNNNNNNNNNNNNNNUACCAGCACAAAUGCACCGGAUCCAUAUGACUCGCAGUUAAGUUUGCUUUGGCGAAUGUAGUAAAGGAUGGGUUACCUCCUGGGAAGUUCUCGUGUUGUACCCAUUUUUUUUAGAUGGGUUGUUCGACGAUACGCGCGACUGGAACUAUGAUCCGCUGGUUUAUACGCAAAUGUGAGUCAAGACGCAGGGGCAUUUUAAUUGAUAUUAGAACGAGAAGAAGAAGUGAAAUGUGAACGCACCAGGAAACAAAUGACGGGAGGGAGAAGAAAGGUAAAGUAGUGUAUGUAUUUGCAGUGCGAAAUGAAACAGGUGCGAUCAUACCAGCACUAAUGCCCCGGAUCUGAACUCCGCAGUUAAGUGUGCUUGGGUGAGAGUGGUACUCGAAUGGGUGUCCUCCUGCGAAGUCCUUAUAUUUCACCCAUUUUCUUGGGAAGUCCUAAUGUUGCACCCUUUUUUUUUAUGAUUCUUUCGACGUUACGCACGACUUGAAUUAUGGUCCGUAGGUUUAUUUGCAAAUGUGAGUCACGGCGCUAUGGUUUUUUACUUGAUAUUUGAAGGAGAACGGGAGAUGCAGUGCGCACGCACAAGGAAAUAAAUGACGGGAGGGGGAAGAAAGGAAAAAGAGUGUAUGUAUUUGCUGCGCGAAAUUAAACAGGUGCGAUCGUACCAGCACUAAUGCACCUAAUCCAAUAUGAACUCCGCAGUUAAGUUUGCUUUGGCGAAAGUAGUAAAAGGAUGGGUUACCUCCUGGGAAGUUCUCGUGUUGUACCCAUUUCUUUUUUAGAUGGGUUGUUCGACGAUACGCGCGACUGGAACUAUGAUCCGCUGGUUUAUACGCAAAUGUGAGUCAAGACGCAGGGGCAUUUUAAUUGAUAUUAGAACGAGAAGAAGAAGUGAAGUGUGAACGCACCAGGAAACAAAUGACGGGCGGGAGAAGAAAGGUAAAGGAGUGUAUGUAUUUGCAGCGCGAAAUGAAACAGGUGCGAUUAUACCAGCACUAAUGCCCCGGAUCUGAACUCCGCAGUAAAGUGUGCUUGGGCGAGAGUGGUACUCGAAUGGAUGUCCUCAUGCGAAGUCCUUAUAUUUCACCCAUUUUCUUGGGAAGUCCUAAUGUUGCACCCUUUUUUUUUUAUGAUUCUUUCGACGUUACGCACGACUUGAAUUAUGGUCCGCAGGUUUAUUUGCAAAUGUGAGUCACGGCACCGUGGUAUUUUACUUGAUAUUUGAAGGAGAACGGGAGGUGCAGUGCGCACGCACAAGGAAAUAAAUGACGGGAGGGGGAAGAAAGGAAAAGAGUGUAUGUAUUUGCUGCCUGAAAUUAAACAGGUGCGAUCGUACCAGCACUAAUGCACCGGAUCCCAUUAGAACUCCGCAGUUAAGUGUGCUUGGGCGAGAGUAGUACUCGAAUGGGUGACCUCCUGGGAAGUCCUCUUGUCGCACCAAUUUUUUUUCAGACGGGUUGUUCGAUGUCACGCGCGACUGGAGCUUAGGUCUGUUGGUUUGUACGCAAAUGUGAGUCAAGAAGCAAGGGCAUUUUAAUCGAUAUUAGAACGAGAAUGAGAGGUACAGUAUGAAACAUGAGGGAUCAUACCAGAAUGAAACAUGAGGGAUUAUACCAGAACUAAUGCAACAGAUUCUAUCAGAACUCUGCAGUUAAGGGUGGUUGGGCGAGAGUAGUACUAGGAUGGGUGACCUCUUGCGAAGUCCUUAUAUUUCACCCAUUUUCUUGGGAAGUACUCGUGUUGCACCCAUUUUUUUGCAGAUGAUUCUUUCGACGUUACGCGUGACUUGAAUUAUGGUCCGCAGGUUUAUUCGCAAAUGUGAGUCACGGCGCCGUGGCAUUUUACUUGAUAUUAGAACGAGAACGGGAGGUGCAGUGCG
This 2769-nucleotide long non-coding RNA is filed under the name Carica papaya (papaya). The record is from RNAcentral. Lineage: Eukaryota; Viridiplantae; Streptophyta; Magnoliopsida; Brassicales; Caricaceae.